Molecule: long non-coding RNA, 1120 nt
Organism: Gymnogyps californianus (California condor)
Lineage: Eukaryota; Metazoa; Chordata; Aves; Accipitriformes; Cathartidae
Exons: 6
Source: RefSeq, a predicted model, not a curated record
UCCUCGGAGCAGCGGGUCUGUAGCCGGGGACUCUCCCCGUGGGUUGGACUGCCGCCCACGGAAACUCCUGCAGGGUGAGAGCCUCGCCUUGUCGCUAAGCCCAUUGCUCAAGGACACCAGCCUCAAGAGAACAUUUAAUGUUACUUUACAGAAUCCUGAUGCCACUCAGAGUACUUUUGCAAAAAUGAGGCAGUCUAUCAUGAUCCCCUCUGUGUCUACUUAGGAAAUCUAUGAUGUGUCUGCAAAUCUCAGCGUCUAUGAGCUGCAGUCAGCAUCACUGGCCUGUCAGCUGAAAGUCAAAUUGAUGUAACUUGUUUUCCUGGCAUCAAAGGGAGAGCCCGGAGCCAACUGAGGGAGCUCCGCUGUUGUAGGAACCAGGGUCUACAGCAGCACGGAUGGAAGAGGUGCUGGAGGCAUUAGGAUGAACAAUUGAAAGCAAAAGAAAAAAAGCUUAACCAUGAAAAAACCCAGAGUCUUCUGGAAUGAGGCACACCCACCAGACAGAUCAAAAGCAUCCUGACUAGCAAUACUCAAAACAAGCUGUUGGUGUGUUUCCUGUCAGCGACAGUUUUCCCCCUUGCUGUGGUGACUGCAUUUGAAAGUUCAGAAUGGAGCAGUGCAGGAGACACAUUGCAAAAGAACAAGUUAAAAAAAAGAAAGAAAUUACAUAUGCAAUUGCCCGUUUGCUUGCAUGUUUGUCUUUUGUGGCUAAAGUGAUAAAAAGGCACAUGAGCGUUGGUGGUAAAUAUAUGGUGGUGGCAGGAGAAAGCCUUGAGACAUUUUCAUAAGUGCAUGGCAGAUGCAGCCAAAAUACCUAUAGGAAUCACAGUGUGUAGUGGUCCACAACAAUCUUGCCAUUCCUCAGUGACAGAACUGAGUAAGCGCUUCCCGAUUUGAGGUGACAUUUAGGGUGGACUGGUCUUUACCCAUUAACCUAGAGAGCUCUUCCAGGGUAAGAAAUACGACAGGGCACUCUGUAGCUAAGCGACCUUGCAGCCCUUCAAAUGGUAAAUCAAGGUUUGAUUUUCUUUGCUGAAUAGGCAUGUGGUCUCUCUGUGCCUUCUCCCUGCAGUUUGAAGACUGCAGGGGGAAAUACGUGCGUGCCACAGUUGUACAUACG